Long non-coding RNA from Gossypium arboreum, 961 nucleotides. RefSeq lists it as uncharacterized. The record is from RefSeq and is a predicted model, not a curated record. NCBI's taxonomy places the organism in Eukaryota, Viridiplantae, Streptophyta, Magnoliopsida, Malvales, Malvaceae. The transcript has 2 exons.
GAAAAAUUUAAAAAAAAUAUCUCUUAAAUGAUAAGUUUGGUUUUUACGUAGAAGUUGUAUUGGCUUUCAACAGAAACCAAUUAGCUGAGUCACCAAAGCCUCCCAACGAUUCGAUUUGAGGUCGCACCUUACUCGACACACCGCCACAAGGCUCAAACAACUCGUCGUUCUCGACAGAGUCCAAGGUGAAACGACGUGGGGUGGCAUCCGAUACUUAGUUGCCAACUGGAUGGUUGAUCAAAGAUAGGGUUCGAAGCUCCGAUGCCAGACCUGGUCUGGUUGAUAAGUAUUAUGUUGAUCCAUCAUCGGGCCGAAAAUUCAGAUCGAAGAAAAAAGUGCUUUACUAUCUAGAAACUGGCACCCCUCAAUCUAAAAGGAAGAAAGGAACAGAGACUCCUGUUGGUGUGUACGUUGGAAGUCCGAAAUAAAAACCUUGUUAGUUGAAUAUUUGUCCAGAUCCUGGGUUUUGGUUUAUGCUUGAAUUUUGUUUUGCAGUUGACAGGGGCCUCUCCAGGCAACAAAAAGAGGAAAUCUGAUAGAAAAUGAAGCCUUCCAACUUUAUUUUCGUUAAUGUACCAGAGAAAGUGGAUUGGUUGUUCAGCAGCAAUGCCUCAGCAGACUCCUGGACUCCCUUCCUUGGGGAUGACCAAGUCCAAGUGGCUGUAUCUACUACACAAGAUUGGUCUGCUACAUUUACAUCCCUAACAGCCUGCCAAACUGAUUAAGCAAUGGUUUGCAAACAUUCCCUGUUUCUAGGUAGAGGUUAUAGGUUUCUUUUGUAUUCGUUUAUUCAUUCUUUUGUUCUCUUUCCAUUGUUAAUAUGUAACCUUUAGCUAGGAUUUCCUUUUUAAAUGGCUUUGUUUCAGAACAAAGAGAUGGUUUUCGUUUCAUUUUAGGCCUAAUUUGGGACGAGCCCGUCAAUGAAUUGAGAGUAAAAAGCCUACUUUGGCCUUGCGAUGAA